Molecule: ribosomal RNA, 575 nt
Filed under: uncultured sulfate-reducing bacterium
Lineage: Bacteria
Description: bacterial SSU rRNA
Rfam family: Bacterial small subunit ribosomal RNA
Source: RNAcentral
GGGUAAUGGCCUACCAAGGCUCGAUGAGUAGCUGGUCUGAGAGGAUGACCAGCCACACUGGGACUGGAACACGGCCCAGACUCCUACGGGAGGCAGCAGUGGGGAAUAUUGCGCAAUGGGCGAAAGCCUGACGCAGCGACGCCUCGUGAGGGAUGAAGGUCUUCGGAUCGUAAACCUCUGUCAAGAGGGAAGAAACCCUUGGAUUCGAAUAGGGUCCUUGGCUGACGGUACCUCAAAAGGAAGCACCGGCUAACUCCGUGCCAGCAGCCGCGGUAAUACUGGAGGGUGCAAGCGUUAAUCGGAAUCACUGGGCGUAAAGCGCUCGUAGGCUGUUUGGUCAGUCAGAUGUGAAAUCCCUCGGCUUAACCGGGGAACUGCAUUUGAUACUGCCAGACUUGAGUGUCGGAGAGGGUGGCGGAAUUCCGGGUGUAGGAGUGAAAUCCGUAGAUAUCCGGAGGAACACCAGUGGCGAAGGCGGCCACCUGGACGACAACUGACGCUGAGGAGCGAAAGCGUGGGGAGCAAACAGGAUUAGAUACCCUGGUAGUCCACGCGGUAAACGAUGAACACUAGAU